AAUGGGGGAAACCCUGAUCCAGCGACGCCGCGUGAGUGAUGAAGGCCUUCGGGUCGUAAAGCUCUUUUAGUGGGGAAGAAGGGGCAACCUUGACUGUACCCACAGAAAAAGCACCGGCUAACUCUGUGCCAGCAGCCGCGGUAAUACAGAGGGUGCAAGCGUUGUUCGGAAUUAUUGGGCGUAAAGCGCGUGUAGGCGGCCAUCUAAGUCUGGUGUGAAAUCCCUCGGCUCAACCGAGGAAGUGCAUUGGAUACUGGACGGCUAGAGGAUGAGAGAGGUGAAUGGAAUUCCCGGUGUAGGGGUGAAAUCCGUAGAUAUCGGGAGGAACACCAGAGGCGAAGGCGGUUCACUGGCUCAUUUCUGACGCUGAGACGCGAAAGCGUGGGGAGCAAA
This 393-nucleotide ribosomal RNA is filed under the name uncultured bacterium. RNAcentral's name for it is "bacterial SSU rRNA". It matches the Rfam family "Bacterial small subunit ribosomal RNA", at positions 370 to 772 of the family's 1533-position model. The record is from RNAcentral.